Molecule: ribosomal RNA, 375 nt
Filed under: Triticum aestivum (bread wheat)
Lineage: Eukaryota; Viridiplantae; Streptophyta; Magnoliopsida; Poales; Poaceae
Description: partial small subunit ribosomal RNA
Source: RNAcentral
AUGGGUCGGCAGAAAAUUUGGAGGGAUAGGAUCGAUGCCCACAACAGAUUAAUCAGACACUAUUUUGCGGAUAAUCCAGUGUACCCCGAGUCGUACUUCCGGCGCCGAUUUAGGAUGAGCACCAAGUUGUACAGACGCAUUGCAAAGAAACUAGAGAGCCAUGACCAGUUUUUUCAGCAAAGGAGGAAUGUCGCCAGAGAGCUCGGGCAUAGCACCUUUUAAAAGGUGACAACCACUUUGUCUAUGUUGGCAUACGGUAUUCCCGCUGAUCUAGUUGAUGACCACUUGGUCAUGGGCAUAUGUUUUUUUUCUGUAGUGCUUUGUGCUAAGUACCCGUGGAAAUACACUCCUUGGCGUACAAAGAGUUUCAUGUAG